AACGUAGGGCGCAAGCGUUGUCCGGAAUUAUUGGGCGUAAAGAGCUCGUAGGCGGCUUGUCACGUCGGAUGUGAAAGCCCGGGGCUUAACCCCGGGUCUGCAUUCGAUACGGGCAGGCUAGAGUGUGGUAGGGGAGAUCGGAAUUCCUGGUGUAGCGGUGAAAUGCGCAGAUAUCAGGAGGAACACCGGUGGCGAAGGCGGAUCUCUGGGCCAUUACUGACGCUGAGGAGCGAAAGCGUGGGGAGCGAACAGG
This 253-nucleotide ribosomal RNA is filed under the name uncultured bacterium. Its description in RNAcentral is "partial 16S ribosomal RNA". It matches the Rfam family "Bacterial small subunit ribosomal RNA", at positions 524 to 776 of the family's 1533-position model. The record is from RNAcentral.